UGGGGAAUAUUGGACAAUGGGCGAAAGCCUGAUCCAGCCAUGCCGCGUGUGUGAAGAAGGUCUUCGGAUUGUAAAGCACUUUAAGUUGGGAGGAAGGGCAUUAACCUAAUACGUUAGUGUUUUGACGUUACCGACAGAAUAAGCACCGGCUAACUCUGUGCCAGCAGCCGCGGUAAUACAGAGGGUGCAAGCGUUAAGCGGGAUUACUGGGCGUAAAGCGCGCGUAGGUGGUUUGUUAAGUUGGAUGUGAAAUCCCCGGGCUCAACCUGGGAACUGCAUUCAAAACUGACUGACUAGAGUAUGGUAGAGGGUGGUGGAAUUUCCUGUGUAGCGGUGAAAUGCGUAGAUAUAGGAAGGAACACCAGUGGCGAAGGCGACCACCUGGACUAAUACUGACACUGAGGUGCGAAAGCGUGGGGAGCAAACA
RNAcentral lists this ribosomal RNA (427 nucleotides) under uncultured bacterium. RNAcentral's name for it is "partial 16S ribosomal RNA". It matches the Rfam family "Bacterial small subunit ribosomal RNA", at positions 355 to 774 of the family's 1533-position model. The record is from RNAcentral.